AUAAUCUGGUUCCUCUUCAAAUCAUAUAAAUCUUUCGCCUUUUACUAAAGAUUUCCGUGGAGUGGAGCACUCAGAGUUUUAAUCAAUUUUUUAUGGCUCUGCUUUUGUAGGGC
Small nuclear RNA from Rhincodon typus (whale shark), 113 nucleotides. RefSeq annotates it as U5 spliceosomal RNA. The transcript has a single exon. Lineage: Eukaryota; Metazoa; Chordata; Chondrichthyes; Orectolobiformes; Rhincodontidae. The record is from RefSeq and is a predicted model, not a curated record.